UCUCAAGGAAGGGGCCAACCCCUCUCUUUAAUUACCCCCCCCCCCAUAUAUUGUAAUGUAGACUGAUGGUGCUAUAUAAACAUGUUCAGGUUCUUGUCAUAAACAUUAAAUAAUGUAAAGAAUUUAGUUUAUUAACCUGGUCAAAAAUUGUUCAUCAUUUUGAUUUAUUUAGACAACACAGUGGAAAAGCCAAACAAAAGAUAACAAACUUGGCCCUCCAUUUCCUCAUGAUUCUCCAUAUGGUAUUGGAAACUUUAGUGCUUUCAAAUCUACUGCUAGGCUGUUGGAUCACAGAAUUCAGUGAAAGAGUGUAAUCGAUCAAAUUCCUCAUCUCCAGUUGAUAAACUUGGCCAGCCUCGCUUAACCAAAUUGACUC
This is a non-coding RNA of Podarcis muralis (Common wall lizard), 376 nucleotides long. The record is from RefSeq and is a predicted model, not a curated record. NCBI's taxonomy places the organism in Eukaryota, Metazoa, Chordata, Lepidosauria, Squamata, Lacertidae.